UUUAUGGAGAGUUUGAUCCUGGCUCAGGAUGAACGCUGGCGGCGUGCCUAAUACAUGCAAGUCGAGCGAACGGACGAGAAGCUUGCUUCUCUGAUGUUAGCGGCGGACGGGUGAGUAACACGUGGAUAACCUACCUAUAAGACUGGGAUAACUUCGGGAAACCGGAGCUAAUACCGGAUAAUAUUUUGAACCGCAUGGUUCAAAAGUAAAAGACGGUCUUGCUGUCACUUAUAGAUGGAUCCGCGCUGCAUUAGCUAGUUGGUAAGGUAACGGCUUACCAAGGCAACGAUGCAUAGCCGACCUGAGAGGGUGAUCGGCCACACUGGAACUGAGAC
RNAcentral lists this ribosomal RNA (335 nucleotides) under Staphylococcus aureus. RNAcentral's name for it is "bacterial SSU rRNA". It matches the Rfam family "Bacterial small subunit ribosomal RNA", at positions 1 to 325 of the family's 1533-position model. Lineage: Bacteria; Bacillati; Bacillota; Bacilli; Caryophanales; Staphylococcaceae. The record is from RNAcentral.